CCUACGGGUGGCUGCAGUGAGGCAUAUUGGUCAAUGGCCGAGAGGCUGAACCAGCCACGUCGCGUGAGGGAAGACGGCCCUACGGGUUGUACACCACUGUCCCCAGGGACGAAGAUGCCGGUACCUGGUGCUGACGCUCCGGCUCACUACGUUCCAGCAGCCGCGGUCAUACGUAGGGAGCGAGCGGUGUCCGUAAUUACUGGGUGUAAAGGGAGCUUAGGCGGGGAUGCAAGUUGGGGGUAAAAACUACCGGCUAAACUGGUAGUCGCACUUAAAACUGCAGCUCUUGAGUGAAGUAGAGGCAGGCGGAAUUCCUAGUGUAGCGGUGAAAUGCGUAGACAUUAGGAGGAACACCAGUGGCGAAGGCGGCCUGCUGGGCUGUGACUGACGCUGAGGCUCGAAAGUGUGGGGAGCAAACAGGAUUAGAUACCCGUGUAGUC
Molecule: ribosomal RNA, 440 nt
Filed under: uncultured bacterium
Lineage: Bacteria
Description: partial 16S ribosomal RNA
Rfam family: Bacterial small subunit ribosomal RNA
Source: RNAcentral